GAGUCGGACAUUGCACAGAGAUCCCAGGACCUGAAGAGCAAGGAUGAUGGCAUAGCGAAGCUGGAGAAGGACAUUGGGGAGAAGUCACAGAAGAUUGCUACUCUGCAGAGUGAGAUCACAUCUCUCCAGAAAAAAGGUUCUGUGGCUGCUGAGGAGCAGGCAGGCAAGGCCAUUGCUCGGGUUGUUGAGCUUGAGGAGCAGAUUGAGAAGCUCAAUAAGGAAAUCGAAGCACAAAGUAGCCAGAGAACAACACUUGAAGCUAGAGCUAACAAGGCUGAGAAGAAGGUGCAAGAUUUGAACUCGAAGCUUGAGUCACUUCAAAAGGCAAAUGGCGAGCAAAAGCGUAUGAUCCAGAAAACGGAGCGUGCUCUUAAAGUUGCUGAGGAGGAAUUGAUGAGGCUGCAAUUAGAAGCAACAACGAAGGCAAAACAGCUGACAGAGGUACAUGGAGCAUGGCUGCCACCUUGGUUGGUGACACAUUCUGCCCAAUAUUUGGAGGUGGUCUCAGGUCACUGGAAUGAGCAUGGAAAACCUGCCAUGGACAUCUUUUUGCAGAAGGCAUCAGAAAAAUCAGCACACGCAAAGAAAUGGGCUGAACCACAUAUCGAGACCGCGAAGCUGAAAUUGGUUCCUGUUAAGGAGAAACUGGCUGUGCUAAAGAAAAACGCAGAACCUUACGUGGAGAAGGCGUCGGCAAAAUCAGUGGAAGUUUAUGAAGCAUCCAGGGAUGCUAUUACACCCCACUUUGUAAAAUUUAAAGAAGUUUCUGAUCCCUACUUCCAGGAAGCUAAGAAGAUCUCUAAACCUUACAUUGAUCAAGUUGCUGAGGUCACGAAGCCACAUGUUGAGAAAGUUAGGAGUACUCUUAAGCCUUAUACUAAAAGAGCAGUUCAUGUGUAUGGAACAUUUCUCGAGUCUGCGACUACAUACCAUCGACAGGCUCAAGCAACCAUUUCAGAUUACUUGCACCAACAUGAAAUAACAAAAUCACUUGUGACUAAGGAGUUGGUUUGGUUCCUGGCUUCUGCUUUGCUGGCUCUACCUGUGUUUAUUAUGUACAGGCUUCUAGUAGAAACCUUCUGGUACAUGAAGAAGCAGAAGAGAUCGCCUCGUAAUGGUAACGGAAACAAUGGCAAUAGGAGACACAAGCGCCGACAUGCUGAGAAGUAA
RNAcentral lists this ribosomal RNA (1170 nucleotides) under Triticum aestivum (bread wheat). RNAcentral's name for it is "partial small subunit ribosomal RNA". The record is from RNAcentral. Lineage: Eukaryota; Viridiplantae; Streptophyta; Magnoliopsida; Poales; Poaceae.